GGAAUAGGGAGCCAAAGUUCCUCGAGAAUGAAGACAAACUGGCAAGCCAGUUGUUACAUUCUGCACUUAAUAAAGUGAUCGUACUCCGAGACCAAUAUGAUUGGUUUAUCGCGAAAAACGCGUCGGAGAUGUACUUUCCUUUUGGAUAUUUAGAUAAUCCAAAAGACAAAGUACCUCUAAACGAUCUACCGGGGCCUUACUUAGCCCUGGUGACCGAGAUCGAGCAAUUCUUUGAAAUGCUCAUCGGUUUAGAGAUGAACUGGACUGAUCGUCCAGAGGCUAUAUACCAAGACCUUUAUAUGGAAAUGGAUGCCACACUUUAUUAUGAGGAGGCCCUUGAGCUUCACGAAAGAGUUGAUAAACUCGAGUUUAAACUUAAACCUUAUGAAGGUCGAGAAAAACCCGGGAAAACAAUCCACGAGACAGCUCCAAUACUUACUGCUUUACGCGGUGUUAUUGGAACAGGUCUACGAAGAUGGAACAACUCUCCUAAUCUAGUAAAUAUUAGUAAAUUACUAGCUUAGGCGUGGUAGGAAUCCCCCGCCUGUUAAUCAGAUGAAAGGCUCCUCAAUAGAGAGACCGACCCCGAGGGGACGACUCUACGAUGAGGAUUCUAUCUGUUAACCUCUUGACACUUCGAGAAAUCUUUGUUAAGUUUAUUAACAAUAAAAACCAUGCCCUUAGGUCCGGAUGAAAUACCGGGAAACCAUGGGGGAUCGUUCUUAUCAAAGAACUCCAAGAAACGGAAGAGGAAGACAGAUGUGUCCAACUCGCAUAAAAUCUAUGCGCAUCGGCCUGACCAAGGGCACUAGGUGUUAUACUAGGUAACUUGGAAGGGGACCGAAGGUGUGGAAACCUUUCUAUCCGAUUCAUCGGGUGGUGCUUCUUAUUUUACAAACCAGAGUGGUUCACUAAAGAACCCUUCUCGGCUUAGUACCCAACGAGGCUUCUCUUUACAGAAAAGCGCAGUUAGGACUAAGGUCCGAUCUUAAC
Molecule: unclassified non-coding RNA, 993 nt
Filed under: Ceratobasidium sp. AG-F
Lineage: Eukaryota; Fungi; Basidiomycota; Agaricomycetes; Cantharellales; Ceratobasidiaceae
Also listed under: 2 other names
Source: RNAcentral